Ailuropoda melanoleuca (giant panda) is the source of this 154-nucleotide small nucleolar RNA. NCBI's taxonomy places the organism in Eukaryota, Metazoa, Chordata, Mammalia, Carnivora, Ursidae. The record is from Ensembl.
GCUGCACAUCCUUAGAGCUUAGAGCUGAGGCUACUGGCUGGCUGAUAAACCCACAAGUGUCAGUAGUGUGCUACAUGAGGGGCAAGUCUUUUGUUAACACCACAAGGGUCUCUGGCCCAAUGAGGGGAGUUUGAUAGUAAUUCUUGCUACAAAU